AUGUUUGCUGCUCCUUUUCUUUGUGAUUAGGAGGUUGCCUUAUAGAGAUGCUAAUUGAAGUCUACAGGACAGCUAGCAUACUCAGCAGGCAGGUAGGUGCGGACUUGACAAAAGGCUAUUCACCUGGUUACCUAGGAGACAGAAUGCUGAUGUAUUUUCCCCGCUCAAUUUAUGUGUUGGUAUAAAAGAUGUCUGGAGAAUAACCGCGGGGAGAUCUUCAGGAGGAAGAGGCCUGAGAUGCCCUUUUCUGUAAUAAUGGUGUAAGCUGUUUCUGGUUAUUCCUUGCGCCUCUGUACCAGUCCAGUUAGGGAAAAUAAUUAUCUGUGUUGGAGCCACAUGGGCUCUAACACAAAUGCGCCCAGCAACGUGCCCCAAGACGAAUGCCGGAGGAAGAACAAGAAGUUCGAAAAAGAACGUGGUGCUGACAGCCAAACUCCAUGAAAAGCCGGAGAUAGGGCCAGAUGAGAGAGACUGUGAAUGCUAAUUGCUGAAUCCCAGAGGGAAACCGGACAAAAUAUGGAGGAGAACGUGAGGCUGAUCCGCGCACCCCAAAAAGCAAGGAAGAAGGGACCAGACGUGAGGAACCCGCGAGAAAAAAAUUGAUGGAUGUACAAUUUGUGCACAGGUUUUAGACAGACAAAAUGACAACCAGGAACGCAGUAAGACUGGACAAAUGUGUCUACAUGCGGAUUGUCUGAAACAUCACAUUUUUCUACUUACAUGUCUACGCAGCCCUCGGAACAGUCACACGAAUCAGAAAACAUGCUGGAAGAGCUUAGAUAACAUGCUCGGGGCCACACUGUCCUUCUGUACUUAAACUGUGGGAGUUUCCUUCUGUCUACCUCAUUACAGAAAGAAAUCGGCACUGGUUCCAUUCCAUUACUAAUAUCUACAUCCGAAACAACUUCAUCUUGCUUUGGGUGAUUUCGAGUUAACUGAACGUAUGUAUUGAAGGAAAAGUUGUCU
This is a non-coding RNA of Myodes glareolus (Bank vole), 966 nucleotides long. Lineage: Eukaryota; Metazoa; Chordata; Mammalia; Rodentia; Cricetidae. The record is from RefSeq and is a predicted model, not a curated record.